RNAcentral lists this transfer RNA (74 nucleotides) under Loxodonta africana (African savanna elephant). It matches the Rfam family "tRNA". From Rfam's summary of the family: Transfer RNA (tRNA) molecules are approximately 80 nucleotides in length. Their secondary structure includes four short double-helical elements and three loops (D, anti-codon, and T loops). Further hydrogen bonds mediate the characteristic L-shaped molecular structure. tRNAs have two regions of fundamental functional importance: the anti-codon, which is responsible for specific mRNA codon recognition, and the 3' end, to which the tRNAs corresponding amino acid is attached (by aminoacyl-tRNA synthetases). tRNAs cope with the degeneracy of the genetic code in two manners: having more than one tRNA (with a specific anti-codon) for a particular amino acid; and 'wobble' base-pairing, i.e. permitting non-standard base-pairing at the 3rd anti-codon position. Lineage: Eukaryota; Metazoa; Chordata; Mammalia; Proboscidea; Elephantidae. The record is from Rfam by way of RNAcentral.
ACCUGGGAGGUGUAAACAGUUAACGCACUUAGCUGCUAACCAAAGGGUUGGAGGUUUGAGUCCACCCACAGGUG